UGAUCGCCAUUUAUCGGUAUGGGAAUCCUAAAAGUUUUUUAUAUGGGGGGUGAAAAUUUUUUAGAAAUUCCUUACCAAAAAAGAAAAUUUUUUAGAAAUUAAAUAGUGUCUUUAAUACUCUAUCAUUUCAAGCCCGAAAGAGAGAGAGAGAUAGGGUUCUGGUCCCGAGGGAGCUGCACGUCUGCAACAAUGGUGGUGAAGCCGAGUAAGGGUGGAAGAAAAGGAGAGGUGGUUACUAGAGAAUAGAGUCUCAGCUCCUUUACCUUCCUUUACAGGAAAAUGAUCUCUUCUUCAACCAUUUUCAAUUCUGCAAGAAGCACAUGCACCUGCAUCAAUAUCCUAUUUGUUAUUCUUCCCUCCUAAGGCAAGCAAAUAAUUCAUGGGGUCGAAACAAUUACCUGAAGUGGUAGCAACGAUGAAAGUGAUGGACGAGAAACAACAUGUCCAUGUAAUGCACAUUGAAUAACCCGAUUCAAUUUCUGCUCGUCAUCUAAUUCUGCUUCGAGUACGGCAACCUGGAGAUUGCAAAAUUGCAAAAUCAAUUCCUGUUAGAGAUGCGUGCACAUUCAUUGUUAGUUUUGUCAUUUGAAAAAACAAGGACCGGAAUUGUUCUUUGCAUGGAGAAAGGCUUGGCUCAAUCUGGGCUAGCCAGAGAAGACGUCAAUUACAUUGAUGCACAUGCUACAUCUACCCCUACUAGUGACCUGAAAGAGUAACAAGCUCUAAUUCGUUGUUUUGGCCAAAAUCCCGAGGCAAUAUGAAUGCAAUAAUUUAUAUAUCUAAUGAUGUUCACUUGUCAUCACCAUAUGCAGUGCUUGAUGGGAUUUUUUAAUUUCUGGAGCUGCGAUUGAACACUAGAAAAUCCAUGAUUGGUCAUCUAUUAGGAGCAGCUGGUGCUGUAGAAGCUGUUGCAAUAGUGCAGCUACUUGAUCGGCUUAAGGAGUGGGAUGGUUUCACUGGUCAUGCUCACACCCAGAUUGAGGAAGACAAUAGUGAAAGGUGAUAUUAAUCAAGACCGGGUAAUCUUUAUUCACUGUUUUCAUCCAAAUUCUAUUUAUCUUUCAUGCUUUUUCUGUGUUCUAUUGAGCUUGGUUUUAUCUUGGUUUGAUCUUCAUUCACGUUACAUGUGUAGAGAGUUUAUUCCAAGGUACUUGUAGUGCAUAUCUUUUGAUUUCAUUUGUUUUUUUGAAAUUCCUGUCUUAAGGCGCCCAUCCUAAAUCCCUUGUAUAUAAACCACCUGCAACAACACACUCACCCGCUUAAGGAUCUUAUUGUUUUAGCUUUCUUGGUUUUUCUACGCACUGUUCGUAUAUGUUAAGCUAUGUACCCCUACUGAAGAUUUCCUACUGAUACCGUUUUGAGUGAGACAACAUUUUCAUUCCCCGUGUCACACCCUUGAACUAGUGGCAGAGGCAUCAUGAAGAUUCUAUUUUGGAAUGAGGACUACAUACCAAAACCACAAGAAUGUGUCUCAAUAAACACAUUUCUGAUACCUUGACUGACUGUCUCUUCCUAUGUGAAACAAAAAUUUCUGACCAUGCCAAUUUCAAUCCACUAAAGCACUCAAGCCACUUUGUCUUAGACAUUUUUACCAAUAGUUUUGGCUCAGCGGGAAGAAAAGGUGGGAUCUAGCUGCUUAUCAAAAAGCAUGUGAAAUUCUCCAUUUUACAUAUCAACCAAUAGAGCAUUUCAGUUCAAUUCGAGCCCUCCAUAGAUCUCCCUUUAUCCUGGACCCUUGUCUGUAUUUAUGCUCCACCACAACCCGCAUGUAGAUUAGAAUUUUAGCAUGAACUUGACCUUUUCCUGCAAAUGCUUUCUUCACCUACCCUUCUUCUUGGUGAUUUUAAUGAAGUUCUUUCACAAGAACACAAGUUUGGAGGAAAACCCUUUAAACACUCACCAUCAUCCUUGAAACUUGAAGAGGUGAUUUCCAAGUACAGCUUCCAAAGUAUCCCACUGAAGGGGAACCCAUACACCUGGUCCAACAGACAGCACCCACCGAAUCUGAUCAAAGAAACCUUAACAGAGCCUAUGCCAAUAACCUGUGGAUUUCCCUGUGCCCAAUGGUCACCCUCACCAAGAAACCAUCCUUGGGAUCAGACCAUAACCCCAUUCUCUUAAACACUGCUCAAGCGGCCUCAUCUUGUAGAAAGUUGUUUCAUUACCACCAUGCUUGAAGACAUCACCUGGAAUUCAUGUCCUUCUGUUCAAGCAAACGUCUCUCUCUCGACUCCAAUGACAAUAUCAUGACUAAACUUGCCUCUCUAAAUCGAUCCCUCUCACUUUGGAACUGAAAUGUCUUUGGUCGCAUUGAGCACAUUAAGAGCAACCUGACCUCUCAACAUCUUGUCUCUGAGAACAAUCAUUGCACUCUUAAUCUCAGUGACAUUGAAAGUAAAUUCUCAUGGAUUGUGGAUGCUGAGGAGAAAUUUUGGUGCCAGAAGUCUAGACAUGACUUCAUUCUUUUAGGUGACCGCAACACAAAAUUCUUUCACACUAUAGCCAAGGUCAACCAAUACAAAAGACAAAUCAAUUUCAUUCUAGAUCUAAAUGGGAACAAAAUCGAGGAUCCUUGUGGGAUGGCUGCGACCUUUGCGGCCUUUCCUAAAGAACUAGUCACAACCUAACCCUUUGGAUCCUCACUUUGUAGAGUGUCUUUUCCCCCAUUAGAUGAGUUGGAUGUGACUUCCCUCAUUGCUCCACCAUCCUUGGAGGACAUUAAGACUGCAGUCUUCUCCAUUGGCCCUUUCAAGGCCCCAGGAAAUGACGAAUUCCAAGCUAUAUUUUUCCAAAAGUUCUGGGGCCAACUCCAUGUUGACAUCUCUUCCUUUGUCCAAAAUUUCUUCCAAUCAGGAUCCCUCCCCCCCAAAUGUCAAUCACACUCUGCUCUGCAUGAUUCCAAAAAAGGAUAAUGCCCUGGAGGUCACUGAUUUUUGACCCAUCAGUCUUUGUAAUGUCACAUACAAAUUUGUGGCAAAAAUCAUGGCCUCUCGUUGAAAGCCAAUUCUUUGGAAAAUUAUUUCCCCAUACCAGGCUGCUUGUCCUUGGGCGACAAAUCACUGAUAAUAUUGUCAUUGUCCAGGAAAUCUUUCACUUCCUCAAAAGGAAAAAAGGUAGGUCAGGAUUUGUUGCCAUUAAAUUGGACAUGUCUAAGGCAUAUGAUAAAAUAGAAUGGGGUUUCCUUACAACCAUUUUUCACUUUAUGGGUUUUGGUAAAAUGUAGACCAAGCUUGUUCACCACUUGGUAAGUACUUCUUCAUUUUCCUUGAAAUUAAAUUGUUCAGCUCUCAAUUUUUCUCAAACCAUCAAGGGGGAUCCGAUAGGGGUGCCCCUUAAGCCCUUUUCUGUUUAUAAUAGUGAUGGAAGGGCUCUCAAGACUCUUGACAAUGUAUAGAGAGCUAAACAUGUUUAAAGGUAUCAAUAUUACUAGAUCCGCCCCUGAGGUGUCACACUUAUUCUUUGCGGAUGAUACCUUUAUUUUAUGUCGGGCCACUAAAGAAGACCUUACCACAAUAAAUGCAUUCUUGACCUAUUUUUUGAUCUCUCCGGGCUAACAAUUAACUUUGACAAAAAUGGCCUUCUAUUUAGCUCCAAUUUGGAUGAUCGUACAAAAAUUCCCUUUGUAAGAUAAUCGGUAUUCGGGAAAUGGGACCCGAUUCACAAUAUUUGGGUACAUGUAUUGUCCAUUCUAGAAAUAAAUCUAGGAUUUUCACCAAUGUUGUAAAGAGAGUAAAAAAUAAGCUUGGUUUGUGGAAAUCAAAAUCAUUGUCUUUUUCUGGUCGAGGUAUACUUCUUCAAUCUUCCCUAGCCUCUAUACCAUCUUAUCUCAUGUCAUGUUUUACAUUUCCUAAAAAUGUCUGCAAAUCUUUAGACUCAAUUCUAUUACAUUUUUGGAAUGGUGAUGGUGAAAACAAAAGGAAAACCCAUCUUAUUGGAUGGAACAAGAUCUGUCGACCAAAAAAUGAUGGUGGCCUUGGAUUCAGAGAUGCUGAAACUUAAAAUAAGGCACUGCUACUUAAACUUGGUUGGUGGCUCCUCUCCAACAUGAACAACCUUUGGGCGAAAAUCCUUAAAUGUAAGUACUUUGCUAAGAGAUCCAUCUUUCACCCCAAAACUUUAAAAGCUAGGGGAUCUCCAUGUUGGAAUAGCAUCACCAUAAUUCUCCCAAUACUGAAAACAAUGGUUGUUCGAAAGAUUGGGAAUGGAGCUACCACCUCUUUCUGAUUCGACCCAUGGGUCCACUCACAAAACAAAACAAAAUUGAAUUGCAUGAAACUUGUAUUACCAGCAAUGCAUCCAACCUUCCUAACAUCCCCAUACGUUCUGUCUUUCUGGACAAUACUUGGAAUUUGGAUCUGUUAAAUACUAUGCUUCCUGCCAACCUUACCACUAUAAUUGCUCAAACCCCAUUAUCUCGUCUACUUGACAAGAGGUGGUGGUCUCCUCUCGAAGGAUGGUUCCUUCUCAACUAAGUUAGCAGCAACAUUUCUUAAAACUGGAUCACUAACUAGCUUCAAUGGCUGCUCAAACAGGUGUUGUUGCUCUUCUCCUUGCUCUCGAUGAUGGCGAUUCUUUUGGAGAAUCAAUAUCCACCCGAAGUUUAAGUUAUUUUUCUGGAGAAUGAUCAACAAAGGACUCCCGACAAAGGAUAUUUUGUCAAAAUGGGUGGAUAUUGACCCUCUUUGUUCCUUUUGCCUCUCUCAGAGAGAAUCUACUUUUCAUAUUUUGUUUGAAUGUGAGCUAGCAAAAAAGAUCUGGACAUCAGGGACCCUAGGCUUCAAACCGUUUCGUCUUCCAUGCAACUCCACUAACGAGUUAAUCUCUUUUUGCUUCUCAUCAGGUUUUAUCCCCAAAAAAGAUCUGAAAUGGUUUUUUUCUGCACUAAUAAUAACAUGUUACUUUAUUUGGAGUUACAGAAAUAAAACCUUGUUCUCCACCCAUAAACACGAUGUCACAGGAAUCUCUAAGGAAAUCGAAUUUUGGAUUGCGAACGGUACCACAAUAAAUUCAAAAGCCCAGGUGGUAUCAAUUCCAACCCUUUUGUCAGCUACUCUAUCAAGCCCAUCAACUUUACAAUACACAUCAAAUGUUCUUAUCAUCACAAGUAUCAAUGAUGAAAAAUCAAAGCUGUCUACAUGGGCUUUUAUAUUUGUAUCUCAAAACACCGAUAUCUUAUGGGAAGCAAAUUAUGUGUUGACAGGAAAAAGUGGUGAGGCGGAGGCUCUCGGACUCCAUCAAGGAGCGAGAAUAAACAAUUGGGUCGUGGAUCAAGUAUGGAGUGAUGCGAUGGAGAUUGAUCUCCUUUUUGCAAAGCAAUUUCAAGAACUUUUGGAGUUAUGGCCUACUAUUCUAGUUAUGCUAUGCCAUGAAAUAGAGAUUCACCCCAAGUACCCUACAUUUUGUAAUAUAACGGGACACUCGUCUCUAGUUGAACUUAAGUAUCUAGCGUAUGAAACUAUAACUACUUGAUCACCUAUAGUUAGAUAUGAUCCAGUAUGUAACCUAAUUUCUAAGAACUAAUGCUUGCUUUUCUUUUGCUUAUCAAAAAAAAAAAAAAAGUUAAAUUUAAUGACCAAAUAUGGAAUAAUUUGAAGUU
Macadamia integrifolia is the source of this 5596-nucleotide RNA transcript. RefSeq lists it as uncharacterized. The transcript is spliced from 4 exons. NCBI's taxonomy places the organism in Eukaryota, Viridiplantae, Streptophyta, Magnoliopsida, Proteales, Proteaceae. The record is from RefSeq and is a predicted model, not a curated record.